GAUGAACGCUGGCGGCGUGCCUAAUACAUGCAAGUCGAGCGAACAGACGAGGAGCUUGCUCCUCUGACGUUAGCGGCGGACGGGUGAGUAACACGUGGAUAACCUACCUAUAAGACUGGGAUAACUUCGGGAAACCGGAGCUAAUACCGGAUAAUAUAUUGAACCGCAUGGUUCAAUAGUGAAAGACGGUUUUGCUGUCACUUAUAGAUGGAUCCGCGCCGCAUUAGCUAGUUGGUAAGGUAACGGCUUACCAAGGCAACGAUGCGUAGCCGACCUGAGAGGGUGAUCGGCCACCCUGGAACUGAGACGCGGUCCAGACUCCUACGGGAGGCAGCAGUAGGGAAUCUUCCGCAAUGGGCGAAAGCUUGACGGAGCAACGCCGCGUGAAUGAUGAAGGUCUUCGGAUCGUAAAACUCUGUUAUUAGGGAAGAACAGAUGUGUAAGUAACUAUGCACGUCUUGACGGUACCUAAUCAGAAAGCCACGGCUAACUACGUG
RNAcentral lists this ribosomal RNA (497 nucleotides) under uncultured bacterium. RNAcentral's name for it is "partial 16S ribosomal RNA". It matches the Rfam family "Bacterial small subunit ribosomal RNA", at positions 28 to 507 of the family's 1533-position model. The record is from RNAcentral.